Cottoperca gobio is the source of this 328-nucleotide long non-coding RNA. RefSeq lists it as uncharacterized. The record is from RefSeq and is a predicted model, not a curated record. The transcript is spliced from 3 exons. Lineage: Eukaryota; Metazoa; Chordata; Actinopteri; Perciformes; Bovichtidae.
GACACCCGGAUACAGCUGGGUGUGCUCAUGGCCAUCGGCUCCUGCAGCUGGAUAGACGUCAGUAGUGAGCCAGGAUACUACUUUACCUCCAGGUAGCUGAAACAAUGAAACAGUCUAGACCACAGGCUGCAGUUCACAGUGAUAUAACGGAAGAUGACUCCAGUCAGCUUGAACAGGACUCCCAGCUGCUCCUGCUGUUAACGUGUGUUGUGAAAACGUCAGCAGCGCGCAGCCCUUCAUUUCCCGCAUUUUGCUGAGGACCCCCAUAAACGCCUGACUAAGACUUGUCACUCAACCACACAGACAAAGAAUAAAUGUAACGUACAGA